Molecule: long non-coding RNA, 635 nt
Organism: Humulus lupulus (European hop)
Lineage: Eukaryota; Viridiplantae; Streptophyta; Magnoliopsida; Rosales; Cannabaceae
Exons: 3
Source: RefSeq, a predicted model, not a curated record
GGCGGGUUCAGCAACUAACUUAUGUAUAUGUAAAAAUUUUGCGCAGCCCGUCAUUUGGUCCGCCUCUCUUUUCUUCUUCGAAAGAAUUUUUUUUUGCAGUAGUUCUCUUCUCCGAAAGAACGUCAACGUAUACUUUUAUUUCUCCAUUCAUGUUUACAGUUCAUAUCCAAAUGAACUAAAGAAAGAGAAGUAUUGGUGGUGCAGUGGUACGGGUGCCCUAUACGAGCUUAGCUACUUUACCAGGUGGAGACGCUCACUCUCACUUUCUCUCCUACGGCCACACCACUCGGGACUCUGCUGAAUAAUCUUAUUGGAUAGAGUCUCCCAAUAACAAACUGGGAUUUCAAGGGUUGGAGAAAAUUCUCCCUCUUUUUGGCUUCUGAGAAAUUUUAAGAGAAUUUGAAGUUGGAAGUUUCACGAUUAUGAACCCCAAUUUCGACUUGUAAUGAUUUUUUAAAUUGUGUUAACAUUUUCUCGAGUGCCAUCUAUCUAGCUCCCAAACUAUAUAAUUUGGUUUCUUUAUUCGGACUUGAAAAAUGCGAUUUCACUAUUUUAUUAGUGUAUUUCUUUGGUCAAUACGUUUGAGCAGAUUUCUAUGUAGUCUUUUAUUUCUGGUUAAAUGUAGUUUGAUAUGA